UCCCUACGGGGGGCAGCAGUGGGGGAUAUUGCACAAUGGGGGAAACCCUGAUGCAGCGACGCCGCGUGUGGGAAGACGGUCCUCUGGAUUGUAAACCACUGUCCCCAGGGACGAAGAUGACGGUACCUGGGGAGGAAGCUCCGGCUAACUACGUGCCAGCAGCCGCGGUAAUACGUAGGGAGCGAGCGUUGUCCGGAAUUACUGGGUGUAAAGGGAGCGCAGGCGGCACGGCAAGCCUGAUGUGAAAGCCCGCGGCCCAACCGCGGGACUGCAUUGGGAACUACCGGGCUGGAGUGCCGGAGAGG
This 305-nucleotide ribosomal RNA is filed under the name uncultured bacterium. RNAcentral describes it as "bacterial SSU rRNA". It matches the Rfam family "Bacterial small subunit ribosomal RNA", at positions 335 to 657 of the family's 1533-position model. The record is from RNAcentral.